RNAcentral lists this ribosomal RNA (494 nucleotides) under uncultured Gammaproteobacteria bacterium. RNAcentral's name for it is "bacterial SSU rRNA". It matches the Rfam family "Bacterial small subunit ribosomal RNA", at positions 29 to 508 of the family's 1533-position model. The record is from RNAcentral. Lineage: Bacteria; Pseudomonadati; Pseudomonadota; Gammaproteobacteria.
AGUGAACGCUGGCGGUAGGCCUAACACAUGCAAGUCGAACGGCAGCACGGUAAGAGCUUGCUCUUAUGGGUGGCGAGUGGCGGACGGGUGAGGAAUACAUCGGAAUCUACCUUUUGGUGGGGGAUAACGUAGGGAAACUUACGCUAAUACCGCAUACGCUUCGGGGGAAAGCCGGGGACCAGCAAUGGCCUGGCGCUGAUAGAUGAGCCGAUGUCGGAUUAGCUAGUUGGUGAGGUAAUGGCUCACCAAGGCGACGAUCCGUAGCUGGUCUGAGAGGAUGAUCAGCCACACUGGAACUGAGACACGGUCCAGACUCUACGGGAGGCSAGCAGUGGGGAAUAUUGGACAAUGGGCGCAAGCCUGAUCCAGCCAUACCGCGUGGGUGAAGAAGGCUUCGGGUUGUAAACUGCUUUUGUACGGAACGAAACGGGUUCUCUCUAAUACAGGGGGCUAAUGWACGGUACCGUAAGAAUAAGCACCGGCUAACUACGUGC